CCCCUCUCAGAGUAGCACCUGGGGAGUUUCCGGUACUCUACCAGUCUCCGCUAAAGGAGGGAGAGUCAAGCGGAGGCCUGUCCAUUCCAUUCCUAACUUGGUCAGUGGCUAGCGAGUGGAAGGCAAUCCGCUACAAGG
Small nucleolar RNA from Ornithorhynchus anatinus (platypus), 138 nucleotides. Lineage: Eukaryota; Metazoa; Chordata; Mammalia; Monotremata; Ornithorhynchidae. The record is from RefSeq and is a predicted model, not a curated record.